UGGGGAAUUUUGGACAAUGGGCGAAAGCCUGAUCCAGCAAUGCCGCGUGUGUGAAGAAGGCCUUCGGGUUGUAAAGCACUUUUGUCCGGAAAGAAAUCCUUGGCUCUAAUACAGUCGGGGGAUGACGGUACCGGAAGAAUAAGCACCGGCUAACUACGUGCCAGCAACCGCGGUAAUACGUAGGGUGCAAGCGUUAAUCGGAAUUACUGGGCGUAAAGCGUGCGCAGGCGGUUUGCUAAGACCGAUGUGAAAUCCCCGGGCUCAACCUGGGAACUGCAUUGAUGACUGGCAGGCUAGAGUAUGGCAGAGGGGGGUAGAAUUCCACGUGUAGCAGUGAAAUGCGUAGAGAUGUGGAGGAAUACCGAUGGCGAAGGCAGCCCCCUGGGCCAAUACUGACGCUCAUGCACGAAAGCGUGGGGAGCAAACAGGAUUAGAUACCCUGGUAGUCCACGCCCUAAAACGAUGUCAACUAGUUGUUGGGGAUUCAUUUCCUUAGUAACGUAGCUAACGCGUGAAGUUGACCGCCUGGGGAGUACGGUCGCAAGAUUAAAACUCAAAGGAAUUGACGGGGUCAUAGCUGUUUCCU
This 586-nucleotide ribosomal RNA is filed under the name uncultured bacterium. RNAcentral describes it as "partial 16S ribosomal RNA". It matches the Rfam family "Bacterial small subunit ribosomal RNA", at positions 355 to 1375 of the family's 1533-position model. The record is from RNAcentral.